UACGGAAGGCAGCAGUGGGGAAUAUUGCACAAUGGGCGAAAGCCUGAUGCAGCUAUGCCGCGUGUAUGAAGAAGGCCUUAGGGUUGUAAAGUACUUUCAUCGGGGAGGAAAAACAAAACUAAUAAUUUUAUUUCUUGACGUUACCCGAAAAAGAAGCACCGGCUAACUCCGUGCCAGCAGCCGCGGUAAUACGGAGGGUGCUAGCGUUAAUCAGAAUUACUGGGCGUAAAGAGCACGUAGGUGGUUUUUUUAAGUCAGAUGUGAAAUCCCUAGGCUUAACCUAGGAACUGCAUUUUGAAACUGAAAUACUAGAGUAUCGUAGAGGGAGGUAGAAUUCUAGGUGUAGCGGUGAAAUGCGUAGAUAUCUGGAGGAAUACCUGUGGCGAAAGCGGCCUCCUAAACGAAUACUGACACUGAGGUGCGAAAGCGUGGGGAGCAAACAGGGAUUAGAUACC
This 455-nucleotide ribosomal RNA is filed under the name uncultured bacterium. RNAcentral describes it as "bacterial SSU rRNA". It matches the Rfam family "Bacterial small subunit ribosomal RNA", at positions 340 to 786 of the family's 1533-position model. The record is from RNAcentral.